This is a non-coding RNA of Salmo salar (Atlantic salmon), 54 nucleotides long. The record is from Rfam. NCBI's taxonomy places the organism in Eukaryota, Metazoa, Chordata, Actinopteri, Salmoniformes, Salmonidae.
CCAUGCCAGGAUUGUAAGUCUCUUUGGAUAAAAGUGCCUGCUAAAUGGCAUAUA